AGUAGCAUCAAAUGACUGAGGGCGACGAGAGGGAACCGAGUGAGAGACUGCCUGGGACGGAGCAAGAGCAACGUCCUGUGGAAGAGGUGCCGCCUCCUCCACCCUCCCCUCCCAAUCUCACUGACAAGCUCAACAAGAAACUCCUCACUUCCUUCCUUGACAGACUCAAUAAUGGACAGAUACCAAUGCUGGACAAUCUACCCCAACCUGCUCAGACAGAAGAAUUCGAUAGUGACUCUGAGACCGAAUAGCUAAUUUUGAUUUUUGUGAUUUAAUGUGAUAUAUUUUCCGUUUUACUUUGUUAAACACUAAUCAAAAAUGAGGUAAGAAUUAAAAAUUCGAAAUGGAUUUUUGGGGGUAUUAUUUUCCAGGUUUUUGCUUAAUAAAUGAUCAGACAGGUUUCCUUUAAUGAUCUAUCAACAAUUUGAUCCCAGUACGUGGACACUGUGCGCUGCCAGUUGUACUUUUUGAGUAAACGUUGACUGUUGACGCCGCAACAUAUUUCAUUUUAAAAAGCUUAAGAUAUCGAUUUUUUGACUAUUGUUGUAUAACUACAAUGUACAAGUAUUAUAUAAUUUAUAUUUCAACCAUAAUUUAUCUUCA
Bolinopsis microptera is the source of this 603-nucleotide long non-coding RNA. RefSeq lists it as uncharacterized. NCBI's taxonomy places the organism in Eukaryota, Metazoa, Ctenophora, Tentaculata, Lobata, Bolinopsidae. The record is from RefSeq and is a predicted model, not a curated record. The transcript has 2 exons.